GACGAACGCUGGCGGCGUGCUUAACACAUGCAAGUCGAACGGAAAGGCCUUUUCGGAGGUACUCGAGUGGCGAACGGGUGAGUAACACGUGGGUGAUCUGCCCUGCACUCUGGGAUAAGCCUGGGAAACUGGGUCUAAUACCGGAUAGGACCGCACUUUAGUGUGUGUGGUGGAAAGUUUUUUCGGUGUAGGAUGAGCCCGCGGCCUAUCAGCUUGUUGGUGGGGUAAUGGCCUACCAAGGCGGCGACGGGUAGCCGGACUGAGAGGUUGGUCGGCCACAGUGGGACUGAGAUACGGCCCAGACUCCUACGGGAGGCAGCAGUGGGGAAUAUUGCACAAUGGGCGCCAGCCUGAUGCAGCGACGCCGCGUGGGGGAUGACGGCCUUCGGGUUGUAAACUCCUUUCGCCAGGGACGAAGCGUUUUGUGACGGUACCUGGAGAAGAAGCACCGGCUAACUACGUG
Molecule: ribosomal RNA, 463 nt
Filed under: uncultured bacterium
Lineage: Bacteria
Description: partial 16S ribosomal RNA
Rfam family: Bacterial small subunit ribosomal RNA
Source: RNAcentral